UACGAAGGGGGCUAGCGUUGUUCGGAAUUACUGGGCGUAAAGCGCACGUAGGCGGAUCGAUUAGUCAGGGGUGAAAGCCCAGAGCUCAACUCUGGAACUGCCUUUGAUACUGUCGAUCUGGAGCAGAGUAGAGGUGAGUGGAAUUCCGAGUGUAGAGGUGAAAUUCGUAGAUAUUCGGAGGAACACCAGUGGCGAAGGCGGCUCACUGGACUCUUGCUGACGCUGAGGUGCGAAAGCGUGGGGAGCAAACAGG
Molecule: ribosomal RNA, 253 nt
Filed under: uncultured bacterium
Lineage: Bacteria
Description: partial 16S ribosomal RNA
Rfam family: Bacterial small subunit ribosomal RNA
Source: RNAcentral